CACGCUGUAAACGAUGUGCACUAGGCGUAUGGUCGAUUGAGGCUGUGUGCCGCAGCAAACGCGAUAAGUGCACCGCCUGGGGACUACGGCCGCAAGGCUAAAACUCAAAGGAAUUGACGGGGGCCCGCACAAGCAGCGGAGCGUGUGGUUUAAUUCGAGGCUACACGAAGAACCUUACCUGGGUUUGACAUAGCGGUGGUAGGGAACCGAAAGGGGACCGACCUUCGGGAGCCGUUACAGGUGC
RNAcentral lists this ribosomal RNA (244 nucleotides) under uncultured bacterium. RNAcentral describes it as "partial 16S ribosomal RNA". It matches the Rfam family "Bacterial small subunit ribosomal RNA", at positions 796 to 1041 of the family's 1533-position model. The record is from RNAcentral.